ACACAUGCAAGUCGAACGGAGCACCCUUGAUUGAGGUUUCGGCCAAAUGAUAGGAAUGCUUAGUGGCGGACUGGUGAGUAACGCGUGAGGAACUUGCCUUUCAGAGGGGGACAACAGUUGGAAACGACUGCUAAUACCGCAUGACGCAUUUUGAUCGCAUGGUCGUAAUGCCAAAGAUUUAUCGCUGAAAGAUGGCCUCGCGUCUGAUUAGCUAGUUGGCGGGGUAACGGCCCACCAAGGCGACGAUCAGUAGCCGGACUGAGAGGUUGACCGGCCACAUUGGGACUGAGAUACGGCCCAGACUCCUACGGGAGGCAGCAGUGGGGAAUAUUGGGCAAUGGGCGCAAGCCUGACCCAGCAACGCCGCGUGAAGGAAGAAGGCUUUCGGGUUGUAAACUUCUUUUAAGUGGGAAGAGUAGAAGACGGUACCACUUGAAUAAGCCACGGCUAACUACGUGCCAGCAGCCGCGGUAAUACGUAGGUGGCAAGCGUUGUCCGGAUUUACUGGGUGUAAAGGGCGUGCAGCCGGGCAUGCAAGUCAGAUGUGAAAUCUCAGGGCUUAACCCUGAAACUGCAUUUGAAACUGUAUGUCUUGAGUGCCGGAGAGGUAAUCGGAAUUCCUUGUGUAGCGGUGAAAUGCGUAGAUAUAAGGAAGAACACCAGUGGCGAAGGCGGAUUACUGGACGGUAACUGACGGUGAGGCGCGAAAGCGUGGGGAGCGAACAGGAUUAGAUACCCUGGUAGUCCACGCUGUAAACGAUGGAUACUAGGUGUGCGGGGACUGACCCC
Molecule: ribosomal RNA, 789 nt
Filed under: uncultured bacterium
Lineage: Bacteria
Description: bacterial SSU rRNA
Rfam family: Bacterial small subunit ribosomal RNA
Source: RNAcentral